Molecule: unclassified non-coding RNA, 240 nt
Filed under: soil metagenome
Description: partial contains 5.8S ribosomal RNA, internal transcribed spacer 2, and large subunit ribosomal RNA
Source: RNAcentral
AACGAGGCCGACCUGCGGCUGAGUUACCUGCGGAGGGAUCAUUAACAAAAAUUUUUUUGAGCCAUUUUUAUGGCUUCAAAAAAAAAAUCCACACACUCACCCUUUGUGCAAUCACUGAGAAAAAGUUAAUCUUUGGGAGAUGAGUUUCUUUUUUGAUCUCAUCUCCCAAAGGUGUUUGUAUAAAACUUUUUUCUAUAACUUAUUGUCUUAAGAUAUAAUAAAUUAAUAAAUAAUAAAAAA